RNAcentral lists this ribosomal RNA (301 nucleotides) under uncultured bacterium. RNAcentral describes it as "partial 16S ribosomal RNA". It matches the Rfam family "Bacterial small subunit ribosomal RNA", at positions 509 to 808 of the family's 1533-position model. The record is from RNAcentral.
CAGUCGCCGCGGUAAUACGAAGGGGGCUAGCGUUGCUCGGAAUGACUGGGCGUAAAGGGCGCGUAGGCGGCGAUCAAAGUCAGGCGUGAAAUUCCUGGGCUCAACCUGGGGGCUGCGCUUGAUACUUGGUUGCUUGAGUGGGGAAGAGGGUCGUGGAAUUCCCAGUGUAGAGGUGAAAUUCGUAGAUAUUGGGAAGAACACCGGUGGCGAAGGCGGUGACCUGUCCUUGACUGACGCUGAGGCGCGAAAGCGUGGGGAGCAAACAGGAUUAGAUACCCGUGUAGUCCCUGUCUCUUAUACC